CUUUUUUUUUUUUUUUUUGGUAAAUAAAGAUGCAUUAAAAAUAAAAUCAAGUCAACAGAGUGCAAAUUAAGGUACAGUCAUCCGUGGGAGGAAACCCCCUUUAAGUCUUGCAAAAGUAAGGGAAGUACAAAAUUAGGACAUAAUUCAAAAAAAGUGAAGUCUUGAGUGUUGCUUCUUCCCCAGUUGGCAAGGAUGUCUGCACAUUUGUUUGCUUCUCUAUAAUUAUGGUGAAAACAUACUUUCUGGAAUGUAGUCAAUAGCUCCCUGCAAUCAAGAAUAAUAGGUGCAAGUUCAUGAGAAAUAAGAUUAUUUGACUUACACAAGGAGAAUAUAAAGGCAGAGUCCAUCUCCACUUCGAGAGAGUGGAUGUUGAGAUUUUUCGCAAGUUGUAAGCCUUCUCUAAGAGCCCAACAUUCAGCAGAAGGAACUGAACAGAAGCCUAAAUUUCUUGCAAAGCCCGCAAUCCAUAUCCCAUUUGAGUCACGAAUUAUGCCACCAGCUCCUGCCUGGUUUGUUGGUCCAGAGACUGAACCAUCAGUAUUGAGCUUGGCGAAACCUAUAGCAGGGGGGGAUCCAUCUGAUGAAUUUUUCUUGUCUAGGGGAUCUGGAGAUAUGAGAACCAGGCCCUAGUAGGUAAAAUUCAUGAGCAUGGUGAAGACAAAACUUGAUAGGAUCAUCAAUUUUGUUUUUUUGAAAGAUCUUGGCAUUGCGAGCUUGCCAGAGGCUCCAACAACCAAAGCUAAAAAUGGUUCCCCAAGGAAUAAGGUUGAAAGGGGAAGGAAUGUUGGACGAGCAUCCAUCCUUGAUCCAGGAAUAGAAAUCCGAGCUGGUUUGGAGGGAGUUUUGGGAGGAUGGGUGAGUUUAAGCCAGAAGGAGGUUGCUUGGGGACAAGAUCUUAGUAUGUGAUUCGAAUCUUCAGAAGGAGCUUGACAAAAAGGGCAAGAGGCUUCGGAAAGAAUUGUGCGAUGUGUGAGAAGACUUUUUGAAGGGAGUCUAUCCUGGGAUGCUAGCCAAAGGAAAUGCUUGACUUUUGAGGAGUAUUAACUUUCCAAAUCCAGCGAAAAUGGGAUGGAGCUCUAGAAUCAACUGGAAAUAAGGGAGGAUUUUUGCAAAGGUUAUAAGCAGAUUUCGAGUUGAAAACCCCAUUGCUGGAGUAAUUCCACCUAAAGAAAUCAUGGGAUGGAUUGAGCUCUUGUCUUGGUGUACCCUUGAUCUCCUUCACGAGCUGGAGAGGAAGCUGGAAGGAUAUUCUAUCAAGGUUCCAACUGGUGGGGAGUGAAAAAGUUGAAAAACUCUUAAGUCCUCUUCCCCCUCAGUUAGAGGUCCUUGGAUCUGGCUUCUGAUAGAGCCUGAUUGAAGCCAUUUGUCUCCCCAAAAUCUGACUAAAUGCCCAUCUCUGAUAGACCAAAUUAAACCUUCAUUGAAGGUUUUGAUCCCAAUGUUGGAGUUUGGACUGUUGAAGCCUGUCGAUGCGGUUGGAUUUGCAACGUUGUGAGUUUGUUUGGACAAAGAUAAUUUGAUUUGCAAAAUUUAUUCUCACAAAUCCCAAUCACCUUUUUAUCUCACAUACAUCACAUCACAAAAAGUGCUACAGUAAAUAUCUCAAAUAAAUCAUCCAAAUAAACUCUUAUCCAAACAAACUCGUGCUUCUUUUUCUUUUUCUUUUUUCUUUACAUGCUUCGUUGAGAUUAUCAGAUAAAAUUCUCUUAAUUUGCUUUUUUAAUUAGCUGGGUUGACUUUAGAUUAGACUAUACCCAACUUUACCCAGUGGGUCUGAACGUUCACAUAAGUGCUGCUAUGCCUGCAGUCCUUUGCAUAAAUAAAACUGACAAUACGAAUCACGUCUGUUUUCUUUUCUCUCUGCCUGCUUUAUCACUGGAUUUUAUCCUAACUUUAGGUGGGCUUGAUUCGUAUUAGAUUGGAGCGAUAAUGAGAUGUAUUCGAUAUUCUGUACCAAUAAAGAAGGUUAUACUGCAACAAUAGACACCUCAGCUGAUCUCUCGUUUCUAUUUCCCUAAUUCAUGCUUCUAGACGUCGUUGACUAUGGGGGCAUCCUGUCCUGUCCUGUCCAGUUAGUUUCCGGUUAAACCUCUCUGAUUCUAGCUCAAUCUUCAUGCAUUAUUAUUAAGUACGAUUGCAGUUGGAGAAAGUUCUAUAACAAAUUCUCAGUCAUCAAGAUGAUUUUAACAAUUCACUUGAUAAAAUCAAGAAAAUUUUCUAAGAUUUUAGAUGGGGCAAAAUAGCGGCUGUAAAUGAAAUUACCAGAAGUCCUUCGGGUUAAAAAGCAUUAGCCAAAACUUGGGGCCGGCUGCUACCAACUCCUGCCGCAGUGGAUGUGUUUAUUUUGUGGUAACUGUCAGUUCUAGGAACGCUGGUCCGCGGGCCUUGCCUCAAAUGACUCCUUCAUAUUGUUUUGAGCCGUCAUCAAUAGUUUGAUUCGCCAACCAACCCAUUAAUUGGGAUCGUUCAUGCCUGAAUUCCAGACACCUCUAUGCCUGUCGACAUGCUUGCCAAGGUAGACGGAGAUGGAAUUCCUUCGAAGCACCGUAUCAAAGAGUGUGACAGCAUCAUGCAGAGACAGCCGCGCCGAAAAUGCGAGUGGAACAAAUACCCAGCUUUAGCACUACUACAUGCAUUUGUCUCGAUCAAAAGAGUAGAGAUUUUACAGCAAUCCAACUCUGGUACUGAAUCUUCUAGUAUUACAAUUUUCAGUGCUUCUAUCUACCUUUCUAAUUCACAGCGUACAGAAGUAGAGCUAGUCAACUUUUAGCACUUGCUACUGAAUAGUUUCUAGGACUUUUUAGACAUUGUCAAGCAUCUGCUUAGUGCUAUCCAGUUGGUAUUGGCACAGUCUAUACAUUCUAGAACAAUACCGAGGCCAGAUUCAAAACCGCAAUGAUUCUUCUUCUUCUUUUUUUUUUUUUUUUUCCUUUUUAGUGAUACACCAACACUGUAUGUGCUAUAUACUACAUUACUAAGAACGGGCCCUGGAUUUGUCUUUGAGCAAUUCUACCACUCUUCUCAUGGAGGGCCUGUUCAUUGGAAGAGAUGAAACGCACUGAAGGGCGACGUCUAAGACCACCCUAAUCUCUUCAAGCUCAGAUGUUGAUGGUUUCAACCUUGCAUCUACAAGGUGAUCCAAAUAGUCAGCACAAAUUUUGGCACUAUCGUUGGCUAUUGGUUGUUCUGCAGAUGACAAUGCCACCUCCAUUACCCACUGUACGAUAUCUUUAUUCUCCCAAAAGAGGGAUCGAUUGGCCGUUUACCAGUAAUCAGUUCCAACAGAACCACACCAAAGCUGUAUACAUCACUCUUCUCUGUGAUCUUCAGAGUGUAUGCAUAUUCUGCAGAAACAAGAAGACAGCAAAAGCAUGUUAGUUAGCCACCAUGGCUUCAGACUCAAAAGAUAAUCACAUCAGGGAAAGAACAUUUUAAAUUUGAGAGAAUUAAUAUCACGAUUACAUUAAUCGCAAUCUAGCAUUAAUUUCUAACAAUCUCCUUAAUAACUAAUAUGCACCCGAGGGCAAAGAUGAAGUAUGUCUACUUGAUGUGUUCCUUUUCCUUUCAUUCCAAGCACAAGUAAACCUAAAAACAGCUUGAAACCUAUAAUCAGAGUAUAUAACUGGUCUUGCUCCCUUCAGUAGAAGUUCAUGUCCAGCGAAGGAAAGCUAAUAACAAAAAAUGGCAUUCGAUAAAUAUAGUUCAACAUACAUUUUUAUAAUAAAUAAAAAAUGGCUUUUAACCCAGUCACUCUAACUGGUUGGAGUUGAAGCCUUCAAGACAAAAGAAAGGAGGUUUGAGAUAAACACACCAAAUAAAACUUGACUAAACCCCGGUCAAACUAAGCUCAGUGUCGCUACUAAUUCAACUAAAAUCAACUUUCUUUCAGCAAGAAUUGGUUCAAAGCCAAUUCAUAUCUUCCACUUCAAAACAAUGGGCUAAAGUUGCUAGAAUAAGACUAUCUUCCCACCAAUCUUAGUCAUAGACUAGUUCCCUCAUGCGAUUUUCCAACUGGAGCAAUUGUUUAUGUGUAAUCACGAUUACGGGUGAAUAGAGAAUUUUUAAUCUUUGUUUUUGUAUUAUACAAUUGUAUCUUACUAUUUGUUGUCCUUGGAACAGAAACUAGAUAUCUCCAAGCUCCUGUGUCUCUUUUUUUGGUCUUGCAGUCAAAUUCGCUUUUGGCCACAGACAAGUACAUGCAAUGAUUUGAAGCGAUGUCGCAACAAAGACAAAGUGACAAAACCAUCCGUAAACAUGAGGCAACUCUCAAUUCCAAUCAAAUGGAGAACUCAAAGCCUAAAACUAGUCAAAUUAAGAACUGAGAGCCUAACACCAUAUGCCGCUUGCUUGCUGGAACAAAAUCAAGAAUAGCCAUCCCCACUCUACACCCAUAAUACCCUAAUAAAAACAUAAUUGCUGCAGGGGAAACUAAAAAGAAUUACAUUAAGCCAAAUCUAUCAUAUUAAUGAAUGAAACAAUUGAUAAUUACUACAAAUAAAAGGCCAUAAUAUAGACAGAAAAGUUAUGCCUCACCUGGAGCAAUAUAGCCGUAGGAGCCAGCAAUCUGAGACAUGAGUUGGCCGCCCUCCUCCAUAUUUUUAUGCAGAGUUUUUGCCAAACCAAAAUCAGCGACCUUUGGCCUGAAUUCCUCAUCCAACAAUAAUGUUGUUAGACUUCACAUCCCUAUGAACAAUUGCGGGUACGCAAUCAUGGUGCAAAUAGGCCAGUCCUUGAGCAGCCCCAAUUGCAAUCUUGAACCUCGUAUGCCAAUCCAACAAUACCCCACCUUUCUCUCCGUGUAGUACAUCCCCAAGCUCCCAUUCUCCAUGUAAUCGUACACUAAUAUCCUAAAGUUGUCUCCAGAGCAACUGAACAACAACUUCACUAUGCAACCAUGCUUGAUUCUGCCCAAAGUCUCCACCUCUGAUUGGAACACCUCUUCAGAUUCUGGUCCACGUUAGCAUCCCAGAGUCUCUUGACUGCGACUGUCGGCCCGUUCUUCAACAUGACACGAUAAACUUGGCCCGACCCGCCUGUUGCAAUGAGAUUAUCUUGACUCAGAAAGGCAACAAUAUCUUCCUCGUUGAACCACAGUCGCUGAAAUGCAGUCAUUUUCCAUGAUUUUUUGCCCCGACCUGCAAAUAAAUUUAGCUUCUUUGACUUGAUCAAUAGCCAUAGAAAUGAUACGACGAGUAUUCCUGACAAGGCUGAUAAAAUUCCCACCAAAACCAAGCUUAUGGGUCUUCUUUUCUGGCAUGAAGGGAGAGGUUUAAGAUCAGGACUGCACAAAUCCGAAUUGCCCACUAAGCUUGAAAUGAAAAUUUCAUUGUCGAAUGCACUAGGUACUCUGCCCUGAAGCCUAUUAUUUGAUAAAUUGAACAUAUUGAGCUUGAGUUUUGACAAAUCCGAGGAAUCUCACCAGAAAGUAAAUUCUCGGAAAGAUCUAAGUAUGUCAAAUCAGGCAACUCCCCGAGCUCAGCUGGAAUUGUACCAGAAAAUUGAUUGCCAGAUAAGUUCAAUUCUGUUAAAUCAGUCCAAGUGGUAACAGAGGUCGGGAUUUCACCUGUGAUUGAGUUUUCUUGGACAUCAAGCUUGAGUAACUUGUUCAAUUUGGUAUGCACGAGGGCAGUUUGCCUGAGAACCGGUUGCUGCUAAUGUCUAUAAUUUGAAGCUGUUCCAACUCGCAUAUUCCCUCCGGCAACUGCCAGAAAAGCUGUUGCCCGAUAUCAAAAAUCCUGUUAGAUUACGGGCAUUUGAAACCGUAGGAGGAAUUUCACCCUCUAGUCUAUUGUUUCGGAGUUCAAAAAUCGUAAGCCCAGGAAAACUCCAGAAACUAGGAGGUACAACUCCAGACAGCUCAUUACUGAAAUCCGGACGUACGUUAACGAACUGCACUCACCAUACGACUCAGGGAUUGGACCAGAAAAGUUAUUGUUAAACAAAACUAAUCUGUCUAGCUGCUUCUUGAAACAAAGAUUUGGAGGCAAAGGCCCUUCUAGAAAAUUCCCAGAUACAUCAAAAUCUUCCAAGCCUGAAUUCCUUCCCAAAUUAACCGGUAAAUUGCCGGAUAAUCUGUUAUUAAAGAGCUUGAGCUGAUAAAGAUAAGGAUUUAGAGCUAAAUUUUCUGGGAUUUGGCCUUCCAAAUUGUUGUCAUUGAGAUUGAAGGAUUGCAGAGCUAAACCGGUUAGACUUUCUGGUAUUCUUCCGGUGAGAUUGUUCGAUGAAGCAUCGAAAUUAUAUAAGAAGUCAGGUUCGAAAAUGUAUCUGGAAUUUCACCGGAGAGUUGGUUUGAAUAGAGCUCUAUCUGUUCGACAGCAAUUAGUCCUCCGAUACUUUCUGGGAUCUUUCCAGUGAGGUUGUUGACGGAGAGGUCGAGGUUUUUAAGAGAUUUGAGGUUUCCAAUUGAGUCUGGGAUUGAACCAAUUAUAUUUGAAAAUGGAAACCAGAGAUUUUCGAGUUUGGUGAGGCGGCCUAUGUCGGCCGGAAGUGGGCUUGGGCCGAAAUUGUUGGCAGCGAUUUCUAGACGAGUUAACUCGGUGAGAUUGGUUAAGAAAUCCGGGAUAGACCCGUUGAGUAAGUUGGAGAGAAGACGGAGAGACCUGAAGGUUGGGUAAGCGGGAACCGUAACUCGCCGGAAUCUCACCGGAGAAAUUGUUACUGACAGGUCGAAGGUGGUGAGGUUGAGGAACUGAGUUUGAAGCUCCGGCAGCCCGCCAACGAACAAGUUGGAGGACAGAUUGAGGAAUUGCAGGUGGGAGCAGAGAGUGAGCGCUUCAGGUGAGAGGGUUCCGUUGAAGUUGUUAUCGGAAAGGUCCAGAAAGCGGAGAGUCUGAAUCCGGCAAAAGUCCGCCGGAAAAUAGCCUGAGAUGCUGAGCUGGUGAGAUUAACGGAAACGACAUCGUUAGUUUGGUUGUCACAACCAAUGCCAGUCCAGUUGCAGGGAGCAUUGGGUGCGGACUGCUGCCAAUCAGCGAGAAGACCACUGGGGUCUUGCAGUUCAUUGGCCUUGACUCGAAGCAAAACGACGACGUCCCUGUUCGAUGAACUGGUACCAGGAAUUAUCAGAGCAAUGCAGAAAAGCAGUUUGAUGAGAUAGAGAUAGAGGGGCAGAGGUCUGCAGUAAAGCAAAAGCACAUAGUACCGGCCAUUUUCUUCUGUUAAUUAAACUACCACCCCGCAAACCGCAACUACUAGAAUGUAUAAUGCAAUCUAUCUAAAGAAAAUUGAGUUUGAGGAAAUGAUGGGCUAAUUCGAUGAUGAAAUCGUGAAAAUGAGAAUUAUUCAUGAUUUGUAUUUAGCCAUUGGAUUUGAAAGACAGCAGCAGGCAACUGGCAAGUAGUGCAUGGCCAUGGACAGAGUAACAGUGCAGGCAGAUUGGGAGAACCGCUGGAAGGGGGUGGAGGUAGCGUGAGCUAAUUAGUCUACUCAUUCUUGACUUAGGAUUCUUAAUUUAUGGUGAAUCUUGAUAGACUAAGGUCAAAAUAUCUUGAUAGACUACAUCGAUACUUUGUAUUCUGUUCACAUGUGAAGGGCUGGUCAUAGAUGGCAUUUAGUGUACUAAAAAUUUCCAUGUGGAGAUGAGAAAGUUAGCAAUAAUAUGAUAAAAUCGACAAUGAUUGUCAAAGUAGUUUCCAACGAGUCGACUCCCGUCGAAUUUUCAUUUAAUUGAAUUGAGUCUCGGUUUCAUUUUAUCAAAUUCGAUUAGAAUUUAGUGUAAAACUUGAGCUCGACGUCAAAUUUGCUUGAACUAGUUUGCAGGAUUCACAAUAAUUAUCUUUUUUUUUUUGGAAGCAAAUGAUUGUCAAAGAUUGGUGGGAGUGAAUUAGGCGGAUUAAAACUGAAAGGUAAGGAAGUGAAUUUUUCCAGAAACUCACUAUUCAUUAUUUGGUCAUAGACGGAAGAUUGAUGGUUUUAUAUGCUUUUGUAGAUAGUGUAGAACAUAAGAGGGGCAUACCAAAGAGGGAAUACCAUAUUACUUGUUUGGGGUGGAUAUUAACCACUGAGCCAACCUCAGUGGCCACCAAAGUGGGAAAAAAUCUCAUCUGUUUGGGUUAUAAGUGGGGUUCAAAUCACACCUGCAAUUAAAAAAAAUCAAAAGUGGUGUCAAAUCACCCUUUUAGUCUAGUCUCUAACACAAGCCUAUUUAGAUUCUCCUGAAAAAAAAAAUUUAGGAUGGAUAUCAUUAUUAUAUUUAGAUCAUCCAUGAACCAUGGCUCCGUUUGAUAAAUGAGUAUUUGGAUAUUUGUCUAAAAUUUUACCUUCUUGUAGUAGUUGUAGGAAAAAUUUGUAAGAUGAAAUUUUUUUUUUUCAUUUUCUCUCUCUCCCUCUUCCCCCCUUCCCAUGCCACUAUCCCCCUUCCCCCGACGCGAUCUGAUCUCACGACCAGAUUGAGCAAAGGGGGAUAGAGAGGGAGAGGGGAGGAGGAAGAUAGUGGGGAGGAAGAGGGGUAGAGAUAGGUGGCAGAGGAGAGGAACGGAGAGGGUGAGAGAGGAGGAGAGGGGAGGGAUGAGAGGGAGGGAAGAGGAGAGAAAAAGAAAAAAAGGUGGUCGUCUGGCCGGCGUCAAAGGUGGUGGUCGGUUGAGGUGGAAGAAAGAAGAAAAAAAAAUUUUAUGUGUUUUGAAUAUUUUGAAUUGUAUAGUUUAAAAUUUUUGAGAAAUUUUUUGAGAUUAUUGUAAUUAAAAUUAUUAAAAAAUUGAUGUGAGACAAAUUUAGCAAAAACUCACUUUGCCAAUCAGGCCCGUAUUUCACCACGUAACGAUGAUGAUUUCCUUCUCAAUGAUUUACUUGUAUUAUCUUCUGUCUUAGAAAGUCUUAUCCUUUUGCUACUGGUUGGCUACCUUUCACAACCACUGUCGUUGUGCGUACAGGGAUUACUCGUGUAUUGAGUGUGAUGCCUUUGGAGUCUUCGCCCAUGCCUGAAAAACAAACGAGUAAAGCAGUCAAAAAGGUUCUCAAGAGGUCAUACAAUGCAGUUGGCCGAAAUUGGUGACCAAUAUAUAAAUGCAAGGGUCCAUCAUUUCUUUUCACUUGAUUUGUAUUUUUCUUCGGAGGGUCCAUCAACUCUAUGAUUUUUUUUUUCUGAGGUGCCUAUCAACUCAAUGAUCUCAAUUCAAGACAAAAGGAUAAGUUAACAAUAAUCGAAGACUCGGGGAUUUGAAGGUAUGCGAGUGUGGAAUUAUUCCAGAAGCAAAGAUAAUAAAUACAUGGCUAAUUAUUUUAGUGCGGAGGGUCAAAAAAAAUGAGUACCAAAAAAAUCUACAAGUUGGUGAAAGCAAAAGGGGUGCAAAUGGAUGUUGUUGCAAGCAAAAGGUGUUUGCAACCCUUAAUCAUGAGAUUUCGAAUUCAAAAUUUAUGAGAAUGAAAAGGAUAACGUUGAGAAAAUUUCUCCUGCAAGAGACUCGACUCGGGUCGAACAAAAUUAAUCACAGUACAUGAUUAAUACCUGUGAAUUAUAAAAAAAAAAAAAAAAAUCUACAAAUCCCAAUAGUAAGGGCGCGGCGAAUGGAAACUCAUUUUCUACAUUGCUGAAUUUAACACCAGUGUGGGACACUAAAUUCAUAGUCGAAUCUUUGACUGUGAGCUGUAAACUAUGAAGGACAGCUUCUAGGAAUUGAAUUGUGUUCGAAAUUUGGGAAAAAAGAUGUACAGUCGCUUCAAUUCGAAGCAAAGUAGUAGUCAGCAAGCAGCAGUCCAGCCACUAGUGGAAAAUCGUAUCGUAUUGUAUCACUUUUUCUCUGGGAAUGUUUACAUGAAAGAAUUGAUGCGUGCGCAAGGAUUGGAAUUUAUUAAGAUGGAAGAGACCGUGCGAAGGAAGCAUAGAAUAUAAAAGUUCGGCUUAGUUGGUUCUCGUUCUGUUUCUUUUUGGUAGUUGUGGGAUUCUUUUAGCAAGUUUCUGAGAUUCUAAGUGGAUUGGUUGGAUGCCGGUUCUAGAACUAAUAGAUUUACCCCUCAGUUUUAGUUAGAUAACUUGUACUCAGCCGAAUGUUCUUUCAAUGGGAAAAAAAAAAAAAAAAAAAAAAACAAUUCAGGUUUGAUAUUACUAGUAAAUUAAAAGUGCUUCGUAGCCUUGACCAGGGAAGAGCUAAUAGUGGCUCCCUCAUAGUAAAAUUUCUCUAAGCAACUCAAAUUUUGGUGUUUGGAGGCUUGGAAAGAAAUUUUCAACAGAUUACAGAAUAUGAUAGGACAUCCCUUAUAGAGUGGUACUAUAUAAAUUUUUUCUUGCCCUCUCGUUUAGAAAUAUGCAGAUGCUUAAGACGGUACUUUGCAGUCAAGAAACAAUAGAAAACAAUUAUAGUUAUAAUUGGCUUUAUUAAAACUAAGUAUUACUACUACUUUAUUUUGUUUUGCUGUCCUCGUGCUUUCCCAUUUUGCUUUUGCUUUUUCCCUUCUCUUCUUUAGCUCCGUCAAUGUUGUAGGGUCCCAUAAUUAUGGCUGUUCCAUAAUAGCGUACUCAGAAGUCAAAAUUCUGUUCAUACAAAUGGAAAUGCUAGGACCGCAAAUUUGAAAUUAAAAGGAUCAGCCAAUCACAAUUGCCAAGUGCCUCGAGGCUGGGGACUACUUGCUUGACGUUUUGUCAUGAUAGUAUAAAACUGAACCACUGAGCUUUUGGCUGUAAAACCACCGGGGUAAGGGCUCAGCGGUGAUCGGAGAGGGGCUUAAGUUCCUUUUUAGGUUAUAGGUAAAGGUUCAAAUUUCAAUUGUAGUGAAAAAAAUUUAAGGGUGUGUCAGAGCAUUUUCUUGAUUUAGUUGAGUCUAUAUACUCACUAGUCUCCUAUCACAGCCUCCGUAGGCUUCCCUUCUCCCCUAGAUUAGAAUAAAAAAAAAAAAAAAAAAAAGAGCUUUUGGCUGUAAGCGCCAAAACUGCUUUUGGUUGUAAGUCGGUUCGAACUUCACCGGCGGUGAAAAAAUAUACCUGUUAGUCUCUUAUACAAUCUCUUUAGGCUUUCCUUCUCUGUAAAAUAGAAUAGAUUAAAUUAUAUAAUGUUAUUGUUGCUAUAAAAACAUAAUAUAAAACUGUAUCCUUCAAAAAGUAUCAUGCAAAAGAAAGAUGAUGACAGUACAUGUCAUGCUCGUCUAUAGAUCAACAACUAAUUUUAACUUUUAUUAUUUUCUCUUUUUUUGGUUCCCCCCCCCCCCCCUUUUUUUUUUUUUCUAAUUACUAGUGACCAAUUUUAUAUCUGAGAUAGUGGUACAGAGUAAACUUUAAGGGUAUUGGCCUAGGAUUUUUCGAUGCCUAGCUUUCUAGCAGUACUCAGAGAUUUCAUUCACCGUAUGCCAGUGGAUAACUUCUCAGUCUCCAUUCAAGCAUGUAGUAUAUCUUGUUCUCUCCCUUUGUUUGACUUGAUUUAAAUUGAAACAAAAUUAUUAGGAAGUCCAAUUCAAAGACCAAUUAAUGCUUCGAUAACGUCGCCCGCUGAUGCUAACAUAUGUUCAGUUUCUGGAAAAUGAAUAGAGUACCCAGCUCCAAUAAACUAUUUGAAUGGCUGGUUGGUAAAUUUUCUUAAAUUCACCCUACGCCCGAAAGAGAUAUGCGCAGGGAGGAACGUUGUUUGGACUCGUACAACUUUCAAGCAGUCUUCUUCAACACUUGAGUCAGUACUGAAAUAUGACAAAGAAUAAUUGAAAUUCAAAAAGAUGACAAUAAUUAGAAAAGCGUAGAAUGAAUAAACUAAACUUGGUGCUCAUAUAUAUAUUUUUUUAAGUAGUUAAAGUAGAGAAUUUAGAGGACUUCUUGCCAAGUUUGCUUACUAAAACUUCACGGCCUUGGCCCGGACCAAAAUACAAGGGUCCAACGGGCUUGAAGCAUUGCUUUCCCCGAGAGAGGAGCAAGAACGGCCGCAGCAAGCAAUCGUGUAUGUACAAAGUUACAUCUUAUAUAUUUUGUACAAAAUCGGUUCGGACAGUUUUCAUGACAAUUGUUUGGCUCCCGUGUUCGGGAGACUCUGAUUGGCACUCAAAUUCGAGCAGCGAAGGAUUUCUGGAAUUUUUUUUAAAAUUUAUUUUAUGUGGCGGAAUGCACAAACUAACUGGGCCGGGGUGCAAGAGCCAAGAUGGAAUAUCACGAAUACUGGAGAUGGAUAGCUUCGGGUUUCUGUGUUCUGCGAGAAUUUGAUAAACAAAUUUAAGAAGAAGCUGUCUGCAGGGUGAGGAACGGACAAAGCAACUCAAAGUCAACGUCGCCGUGAAGCAAAAGUUGUUCUACUAAAAGAACCCGACCGACAAUCUUCCGCGUACUAAUUUUGCGCUUUUCAGCUCCGCCCCAACAAUAACAUGCGUUCUAAAUUCUAAUCUACUACUCCCAGUCCCAGUAGUGAUUGAUGCUCAGCACCAGUUUUUGUUAUCUUUCUAAACAUGGAUAGACCGUCCAAGUAACUCGAAAAACCUGAUCCUCUCUCUUGUAACGUAAUCAAUGGCUUCUUGAUGAAUUUACUGAUACUUUGAAGAAGCGUGGGAAUCUGUAUAUAUAUAAUGAGGAGUUUGAUCAAAUGUUCUUCAUUCGAAAAAACAUCAGGACUGACGUUCUUUCGAGUGUAUAAGAUGGUGCGGUUAGGCAAGAGAACACGUUCAGUUCAGAUGGUCAAAAGUGUUUGGUGCAGUGGGUGAAGGUAAAUCUUGAUUAGCACGAACUUCAAUAAUGAAAUGAUCAACCGCACCUGAUUCAUUUUUGUGUGUGAGGUGGUUUAGUUUGGAAUUCAAUUUGGAACCACACAGUAUCACACGCUUUUACGCUCAGCACUAGUCACCAUUAGAGGUGGUAUCGAGCCGAGUCGAGCUCGAGUAGCACCAUACUCGAGCUCGAGCUCGAUCAAAAUUUGUACUACUCGAGCUUGAUCGAGUAAAAAAAUUUGGACUCGAGCUCGACUCGAUGAAAUAAAACUAAACUCGAGCUCGACUUGUUUGAGCUCGAGUAAAUAUCAAGCCUGAGCUACUCGAGCUUGAGCUCGAGUUUUGAAAUAAACCUAUAAUUUUUUUUAAAAUAUAUAAUAUAAUAUAAAUAAAAUAUGAAAACUCGAUUAAGCUCGACGAGCACUCGAAUAUUUAUUUCUUGAGCUCGAACUCGACUCGUUAAAUUUAACGAGUAGCUCGAGCUCGAUUUUACCGAGCUCGAGUCAAGCUUUUGAUCAAGCUGCUCGCGAGCUACUUGAUCAAGCUGACUUGCUAGCACCCCUAGCCACCAUUACCAAACAAGAUGAUGAUGCAUCAGUUUUAUAACUCAUACGCGAUGAUCAUGGAUCUCCUAUAUUUGUGUUUGCAAAAGGAUUGGAAAUUUAAUAAUAGCAUCAAUGGAACAAAUGAUGGGUUAGGUCUGACGGCGAUUGGCGGGUGAGAGAAAGGGUUGGUCGUUCCUUGAACAAUUGUUUAAAAGGAUAUGUAUCAUCAGAUCUGAUUGAUGAGUCAUACUAAGACAAUUCGCGGUUCGGUUAAGUAUGAAUUUUUGCUAAUUUAGGGAUAAAAAAUUGAUCCGUCUUAAGAAUGAGUUUAUGGGCCAAUAAAUAAAAUGAAGGAUUUUUAUCUUCAAACCCCGUUGCAUUGGGGUGGGGCAGUGCAAGAGAAAUCAUACAGAAGAGAUCAAAUGCCCUUCUUUUGAUAGUUAGGAGUAGGAUUGUCUUCAUCUUCCAUCGUUAAACUCCGUUCUUGCUCUUACAAUCAUAUGAUUUUAUUAUCUAAUUUUGCAGAAUUCAAUACUGGUUUUAAAGUUUGCAAAAUUAUAAUUAAAUCAAUUCUGUAGAUGUAAGUACAUAAUAUAUAUAAACUAAGAGAUACUUUAUACUUCAUGAAUUUAGUUUGAUGAUUUUGGUUUUAAAAUUUAAGUACAUAAAAUAUUGAUUUUUUAUAUCAUAACUUUCAAAACGAUUCAAGGAGGGAUACCAAUCUUAAGAAUGUUGUUUCUAGCAUAUAAUGCUAGAAAAUAUUAUUGAGAUUGAGGACGACAAAAUCACCAGAAUUUGUGCUCAGAAAUUUAAGUCGGGCAUGGUCCGGUAGUAGGAAAAUGCGCAGUCGCCACUGGUCAAAUCCAUACCCCAAUUCAAAGCGUCUGGGCAGCUUCUUAAUUUUUGGGCCCAUAUUAAGCUAACCGCAAAAUUUUUUUAAAAAAAUUAUUAUAAAGACGAGAGAACACGACGCGAUGUUAUUAUAAGCAAGACUCCAAGGAUCUGACAUCUGCUCCACAUGCCGUUGCAGCACCGUCACUGAUCGCCUGUCGUCUGCUACUAAAAAUGCAUGUUGUGGUAACAUCUCUUUUCUGUUUCUUUUUCUGGGUUACUCAAGUAGGUGUAAUCUUUUCUCAUUAUGUGGUAUAGAUCCCUGACUCUCUCAGAAAAACUGGCGGGUGUAAUGAUGGCCCGACCUAUCAUCAUAGUAUGACCAAGAACUAUGGUCUAAACCGAUGUGGGGAAAAUAUAGGAUUAGUUGAACUGAAACCGACCUAGUUAAGCUUCUAAUCUAGCAUUUGAUGAAAGGACGACAGUUAUGCUUCAGAAACUAGUCCUGUUUAAAACAAUUCUCCUCACAACAACCAUGACAUUUACAACAUUCCGUUUCCACCUGACAUGUCCUCCAUUCCUUGCCUUGGAAAUGCAGAAAGCCAAAGCUAGCAGGGCUGGCAGCAGGAAAAAGUUCCAAAUUGAAUGGUCUCGGCCACAUUAUUUGACAUUUGUCUCUAAUGAUGCUAACUACUUAAAGAACCAAUAAUUGAUCUUCCCUGCCCUGGACUUGUUUUCCACAUUCAACAAAUUAUCGGAAUCUAUUCAGCAAAGCAUUUGAUCAUGCUGCUUUUUUCUUCUUUUUUUUUUCUUUUUUCUUUUUAAGGAAACAGACUCAUGCAAUGGGAUCAAAGGAAAAUUUUGUCGUGUCGUUGACCUAAGAGUAAUUAUGAGGUUCUUAUCUAAAGUUACUUCGUGAAUGUUGCACCCGUAUUCCUACCACUCCACCACUUAAGACUGCAGUUGAAGCUUGAGAAUAUACAGAUCAUGAAGCAACACAUACAAUGUAAUACACUUUUCUUGGUUUAGAAUGCGAACAGGCAGUGAUGGAUUAAUAUUUAUUAGUCGCUAUUUCCUAAUAAACAUGGGAGACAUAAGUUUGUGAUGACAGCAUUUUAGUCGACACCGGAAACGACAUCAGUGAACAUUUUUCCUAAGCAUGCCAUUAUAGUGGCGUUUGACCCACAUAGAUCUGGUGCAUAUUAGCUUUUAGAUUUUUUUUCCUAUUUGAGUUGCAUGUUUAAUGUAAAAGGUUAAAGAUUGUCGCGUGCCCCGGAUUAAGUUGAACCAGACGCGGGUUGGCCAAAAAUCUGCGGAAGAAUAGCUUCGAAUUUGUUAUGAACUAGCAAAACACGAAAUUAAUUUGCAUGUUUGUUCUGUCCCAGGGUAGAUAAAGAACACCACCUCAUUACUUGCUAUUAUAUAUUAUUGGCUUCGGUAAAGGUACUGGGUCUUGGUAUUCCGAGUGAUGACACGGGAAAUAAUCUGAGAAGUUCAACACAAGUACAUGAACACGCAGGAAAACUUUUACUUCGCAAAUGUAUAAAACCUUUGAAAGAAGUUCUUAAUACAUGUCUCGUCAUGUCUUAAGAACUUGCAUUUCUUUAUAUGCUAACUCUAGCUUAUAGCAAGUAAACUCUUAUAUCUGAAUCUUUCGAAGACAAAAUGUUGAUAUGCAAAACAAAAUUGCAAACUUCUUGAUGAAUGUGAUAUGGAGCAUGAAGAGAAAGAGGAUUUCACAAGCAAUCAUGAAUUUCGAUAAACAUUAACAAUUAAACAAAUUUUUGCCCCACGAUCUCCUUGCAGUAAUAGAGAAAAGCCCUGAAACCAGCGCAUGGCCUAACGGAAGAAUGGAAAAAGUAUUUCUAAUAAGCUCAGAAAAAAAAAAAAAGAAAGAAAGAAAGAAUAAAAGGUUGUCAAGUACUCCCAUGUCAAUCUUAUAACACGGCAUUUCCAGAUUUCCCGAUUAAGUGGGAAAAAAAAUGGAUGACAAAAGCUAAUACCUAUCUUUGUAUAGAAUUAGAUGCUUAAACGUUCAGCGGGAAAAUAACAAUACUACUAAACUAAAAACAUAUGCGACGGCAAAAAGUAGAAUGCACAGGCCAUAUAACCGAAUUAAGAUGAAGGUGAUAUUUCUCUUUUCAAUUUUCCUUUUUGUCAGAGUAAACGGUAAGCUUUGAGGUUGCUGUUCUACAACUGUAUUUUCGAUCUUUUAUUGUCAGUGUCCUCGCCCUGUCACGAUACGUAUCAUGAAAAUCACAAGCAGAAAAGCAAACAUUAAAAGAUUGGCAGUUAAAAGCAAACCCUAUACAUAAUUACAUACUAAAAUGGCAGAUUCAGAACCAAAAGUCUACGAAAUAAAAUUCCAUUAAUAUAAUAUGCCAGAAAAAAAGUAAGAAUACCGUAUAUAGUGUUGAUAUUCUUAUAGGAGUCUAUCUUUGUAGGAAUAUCCACUACUCAGUACGAUCUGUUGCAUAACCAAUGAUCGAAAAUAUCAUGAUACUCACACAAAGCAAAGACUCUCAAGAACGUUAAUUUUCUUUGAACUUAAAAAAACUAAAUGGAACUAGGGGAGUAAUAUAUAUGUGCAUCUGAUCAAUAAAAUAAAAUGACGAUCACAUAAAGGAAGUAAGAGAGUAUUGUUAAGUAAAUUAAUUAAGAAAAGAAACCCAAAACAGUAUUGCCUGGCUCCGUUCUGUCUGCCUCUUUCUUUAGCUUGGGAGGUUGCAGAGGCCUUAUAACAACAAAGAGCCCCCUACUAGAACUGAUGAAGAACCCUUCUUGGACUUGUUGAUGAGUUUUCCCACCAACUUGAACGUCCUCGACCACCAGAAGAGAACUUUGCUAAACGUUUUAGUGGUAGUACUACCAGUUGUAAAUCCUUCUUUUUCUUGAACCAGUGCAACAAGUUGGCUUCUGGGAUUAGUAAUAAUAUUAGCAGUAAACAAGUAAAUGGAUGGGAAGCGAAAUUUUCAUCUUCUUCAACCAUCUUUGCAUAAUUAUUUAAAAUGCAACCACCAACCACCCUCCCUCUUCUUCUUCUUCUUCUUCUUCUACUGUUACACAAACCCCUCUUUUCUUAUUUCUGUUUGUGGCCAGCAGCGGGAUUUGAUAUACAUCACGCAAAAGGAUACAUAUGUGUUGCCUUGGAGAAAGAAGAGAAAGAAAUGGAGAGUUAAGAGUAGAGAGGGGAAUCUAUGGGAUGGUGAAAAUGAGAGUGGCUGAGAGCUGAAGGAGGGAGGGCAGAGACAAGGGCGGGUUCUUAAAAGAAGGGUCCCAGCCCCGGAAGAGGAAUAGACAUUUUGUCC
RNAcentral lists this long non-coding RNA (17290 nucleotides) under Coffea arabica (coffee). Its description in RNAcentral is "long non-coding RNA (CARA_LNC004877)". The record is from RNAcentral. Lineage: Eukaryota; Viridiplantae; Streptophyta; Magnoliopsida; Gentianales; Rubiaceae.